This is a long non-coding RNA of Tympanuchus pallidicinctus (lesser prairie-chicken), 1435 nucleotides long. RefSeq lists it as uncharacterized. Lineage: Eukaryota; Metazoa; Chordata; Aves; Galliformes; Phasianidae. The transcript has 2 exons. The record is from RefSeq and is a predicted model, not a curated record.
CGACCAUCCGCGACCGAAACAACGAUGCAAAGGCUGCAGCACCCGCGGAGGGCAGGAAGGUGACGGCGGAGGGGGGGCAGCUGGACCGCACAUCCCGCCCCAGGAGUUUUCUACAAAGAAGGAUGCUGGCUGUUCUCCUGCCCUUCUCCCAGCUCUGAGUGCCAUCUAACAUGGGGCCCUUCCUGCCAUGGCCCAGCACAGCCUACAGAUGCUCACUGACUUCACUUCCAGUUGUCCUUGGAAAUCGCCUUCUGCCUCACAGCACUCCAAAGGAUGCUUUUCAGCCUGACGGUAGCUUCAAGUCUCCAAGAAGAGUCAGUGAUUUCCUCCCUACAAAUAUCCCUGCAGAAAGCACGUGGAAGAGGAGACAAGAAGAUAUCCCUGGAAUGGAGGGAUCUAACAGCGCCUGCCUGGUUCUCCUCGGGGGCCUGAGCCCCUUGGCCUCCAGAUGAAGGAGGGCUUUGUCCAGGCUGCAGCCAGAAUUAAAAUGCUGGAGCUUUUCCAGAUGGGACCCAGAUGGGAUCCAAAGAUCCUGGGGCUUUGCCUGCUUGAUGGGAGAUGUGUCUGGGUCCCGCAGCUGCACACAGAUCAUAGAAUCGCAGAAUGGUUGUUGGAUUGGAAAGGACCCCAAAGAUCAUUCAGUUACAACUGCUGGGUGAUGCCUGCUGAGGGCAGAGGGAGCUCCACCAGGAGGGAGCUGCUAGGCUGCAUCCAGACCCGGGGCAGUGGGGGAGGAAGGCUUACAGCAGGCUCCUCUCUGUGGGGGAUGUCAGAUGGGGGCAAGUAGGGCCCUUCCAGCUGCUGCUGCCACCCAGGGAGAGGUGCUGAUGGCAGUGGGAGGCUAUGAGCUGGGGGAGCCUCGGCCUGGAGAGACGGGGCCAGGCGCACAGGCUGCAAAUACCCUCCCCUUCCUCUCACCUCCUCCACUUCUCAGCCCUAGUUCCUUUCAGCCCACCCUUUGCUUUUCCUCCGGUAUGAAAAAUGUCCCUCCUGCUAUCACUGAUGACAGACAGUGUGAUCUAUUUGUUUUUAACUUGCAAAACAGCCAAAUGACCACCAUUCAAAAUCCAGCUGCUAAAUAGCUGCUGCAAGGCUGGUCGGAUUGUCUGACCUAAAGCCUCCUCGCUUUGGUGUUGCUGUUUUGUGGCAAGCUGACACAUGGAAAUGAUACACUAAAAAUCCCGUUUGAGGCGAUAUUUUAAAAAUGAGAUCCUCGUUGGAGCUUCUGCCUUUGGUACAGGAAAAGCUGUAAAGCAAUGAGCUGUUGCCCCUGGCUCUGGUUUGUGAAAAAAUUUCUCCUUGACUUUGCACAGUUGCAUCACGCAUUGCAAAUGGGAUUGCUGUUUUUGGCACUGAUCAAAGCAGCGGAUUUCACUGGAGAAAACAACAGAUGUGUCCAAACUGAAAUGGCAGAGCAUAAAAAAGCCCCAAAUAA